AACAUACUCCCUCCAUCCCAUAUUAAGUGACUCAAAUUUAUCUAAAUAUGUAUGUAUCUAUGCGUAAAAAGCGUCUAGAUGCAUGUAAUAAAAAGUCACUUAAUAUGGGACGGAGGGAGUAAUUG
Non-coding RNA from Brachypodium distachyon (stiff brome), 125 nucleotides. Lineage: Eukaryota; Viridiplantae; Streptophyta; Magnoliopsida; Poales; Poaceae. The record is from Rfam.